AUCUGUCCUGACACGGUAACAGAUGUUGAGAAAGUGAGAGGACAGUUCAUUAUCUUAUUUCUUGGAGAAAGCUGCAUGCUGCUGAUCAGUUUAAGAACAAGAAAUGCUCUUGUUUAUUCUCAGCUCAGGUGCUCUUUGCAACUACAGAGACAGGAACCAAGCAAAUGGAAGGUCUCCAUCUUUUCUUUCCUUUUUUUUUUUUUUGGUACUGGGAAUUGAACUCAUGACCUCAGGCUUGCCACAUGAGCAUUUAUACCACUGAGCUUUAUCUCUGGGCCCCAUCUUGAUAUUCAUAAUAGCAUGAUAAAGCUAAAAACUGCAAUGAGAAUUUUUAUUUCAAACAAUGUGGAGUUACUACACCAUACAUAUGAGGGUAAAUCUUGUAGCAAGGAAACCAGCCAUUCCACUCCAGAGCCAAAAUCUGACAACUGUUGAGGACACAAAGACUGGUGCAAAUCCAUCUCAGCCUAGGAACUACAGCCAAAAGGGGUUCCCAGCUCCAGGAAGUUUGCUGUGGUGAUGCGAUUUCAUUGCUUCCCACGGCCCAGAGACCAGAGUGCAAGAGAGAGACAAUGUGAGACUUCAUCGGGUCAAUUUUCUUGAAGAGAAGAUGGACACAUAUUAGUCAAUUCAACUAGAACUUCUAUCAACUGACAAAUCCAGUUUCAUCGCUAGCAAUUUCUUCUUAAAUCAGGUCUGGAACAGUUAUUUCCAGGUAUGGUUUCCAGACUUUUUGACCCACAUUCUGAAAAUCACUAGAGAUGUUUAAGCCUAGCCCCAACUUCCUGAUAGACAGGCAAAAUUUGAGGUGAUUCUUCUCAGUGAUUAGAGCACUUUUGGAGCAGGCAGCACAUUUCUUCCUAACUUGCUUGAAUAUAACAUCUGCACUUCUGUCUCUGAUAUGAACAUCACUACUCUUUCCAUUUCAUGAGAAUUAGCCUGCAUGCCUGCAUGCCUAACUCCAAGUGUGAUGUCUCUCAAAAAUACUUAUUUGUGAAUUUGGCUAAAUGUACAUGUUUUAAACAAAGCCAUUACUUAUUCUUCUACCCAAACAAGUACUACAAUGUGUGUAUUGUAACGAGCAGCAACAAAGUUAUUGUAUCAGUUUCUCUUAUUCUGAAA
Molecule: long non-coding RNA, 1122 nt
Organism: Chinchilla lanigera (long-tailed chinchilla)
Lineage: Eukaryota; Metazoa; Chordata; Mammalia; Rodentia; Chinchillidae
Exons: 2
Source: RefSeq, a predicted model, not a curated record